This 121-nucleotide non-coding RNA is filed under the name Candidatus Zhuqueibacterota. RNAcentral's name for it is "Candidate division MoCo sequence". It matches the Rfam family "Molybdenum/Tungsten riboswitch aptamer (Moco RNA motif)". The record is from RNAcentral. Lineage: Bacteria; Pseudomonadati. RNAcentral also lists the same sequence under 1 other name.
UUUUUAAAAAAUCUCCGAGCUUUGGAUUCUGUUGCCUUGGUGGUAUGAGCCAAAGCCGAAAGGGCUAAGCCGGAAACGGCUUAACCUCCCGUGCUUGGAAAGGAGAUAAAUUGAAAAAUUU